GGAGCCAGGAGACAGGUGCUGCAUGGCUGUCGUCAGCUCGUGUCGUGAGAUGUUGGUUAAGUCCCGCAACGAGCGCAACCCUCGCCUUUAGUUGCCAGCAUUCAGUUGGGCACUCUAAAGGGACUGCCGGUGUCAAACCGGAGGAAGGCGGGGAUGACGUCAAAUCAUCAUGCCCCUUAUGUUCUGGGCUACACACGUGCUACAAUGGCCGGUACAGACGGACGCAAAGCCGCGAGGUGGAGCAAAUCCUAAAAAGCCGGUCUCAGUUCGGAUUGCAGGCUGCAAUUCGCCUGCAUGAAGUCGGAAUCGCUAGUAAUCGCAGGUCAGCAUACUGCGGUGAAUACGUUCCCGGGCCUU
This 357-nucleotide ribosomal RNA is filed under the name uncultured Eubacteriales bacterium. RNAcentral's name for it is "bacterial SSU rRNA". It matches the Rfam family "Bacterial small subunit ribosomal RNA", at positions 1023 to 1382 of the family's 1533-position model. The record is from RNAcentral. Lineage: Bacteria; Bacillati; Bacillota; Clostridia; Eubacteriales.